Molecule: ribosomal RNA, 305 nt
Filed under: uncultured bacterium
Lineage: Bacteria
Description: bacterial SSU rRNA
Rfam family: Bacterial small subunit ribosomal RNA
Source: RNAcentral
GCCUUCCUACGGGACGCAGCAGUGAGGAAUAUUGGUCAAUGGGCGAGAGCCUGAACCAGCCAAGUCGCGUGAGGGAGUACUGCCCUAUGGGUUGUAAACCUCUUUUGUCGGGGAGCAAAAGCCGGACGUGUCCGUCUGUGAGAGUACCCGAAGAAAAAGCAUCGGCUAACUCCGUGCCAGCAGCCGCGGUAAUACGGAGGAUGCGAGCGUUAUCCGGAUUUAUUGGGUUUAAAGGGUGCGCAGGCGGAUUUUUAAGUCAGUUGUGAAAGUUUGCGGCUCAACCGUAAAAUUGCAGUUGAAACUGG